CCUACGGGUGGCAGCAGUGAGGAAUAUUGGUCAAUGGCCGAGAGGCUGAACCAGCCAAGUCGCGUGAGGGAAGACGGCCCUACGGGUUGUAAACCUCUUUUGUCGGGGAGCAAAGCGAACCACGUGUGGUUCAUUGAGAGUACCCGAAGAAAAAGCAUCGGCUAACUCCGUGCCAGCAGCCGCGGGAAUACGGAGGAUGCGAGCGUUAUCCGGAUUUAUUGGGUUUAAAGGUUGCGCAGGCGGAGGUGCAAGUCAGCGGUCAAAUUGCGGGGCUCAACCCCGUACUGCCGUUGAAACUGCAUCCCUUGAGUGCGCGAGAAGUAUGCGGAAGGCGUGGUGUAGCGGUGAAAUGCAGAGAUAUCACGCAGAACUCCGAUUGCGAAGGCAGCAUACCGGCGCGCAACUGAUGCUCAUGCACGAAAGCGUGGGUAUCGAACAGGAUUAGAUACCCGAGUAGUC
This 459-nucleotide ribosomal RNA is filed under the name uncultured bacterium. RNAcentral describes it as "partial 16S ribosomal RNA". It matches the Rfam family "Bacterial small subunit ribosomal RNA", at positions 338 to 795 of the family's 1533-position model. The record is from RNAcentral.